UAAUAGUAAAAAUCGGAAAAUUCAAUUUCCCAAGCGAAGUUUAUGACCCACUGUAAUGAUAGUAAUCUGUUGGAGAAAAGAUUUUAUAAAGUCAUGUCAUUUUUCAUUGGUGGCAGCCAUUCUAACCUCACAAAACCAACGCAGACGACAAACACAGCACCAAAGUGGGGAGUGGAUGGGAUAAUGGGAUGGAUGCAUAUUAAAGUUGCGUUAAGUGUGGAGCGAAAAACAAUUUGCACUCGUUUAAAACGCGCAAAGUGCUGCGGGAUUUAAAUUGAGAUUAAUUUGCAAAGCGGAGCGUCAGAUAAUAAUUUAAAUAGUAAUUAUGAAGAAAAUGUUUUUAGAUAAAUUUUUUUUUGUUGAAAUUUUUAAGAAAAACGAAAAAAAACUUUUUUUUUCUUUAAA
Molecule: long non-coding RNA, 405 nt
Organism: Dalotia coriaria
Lineage: Eukaryota; Metazoa; Arthropoda; Insecta; Coleoptera; Staphylinidae
Exons: 2
Source: RefSeq, a predicted model, not a curated record